Long non-coding RNA from Gallus gallus (chicken), 365 nucleotides. RefSeq lists it as uncharacterized. The record is from RefSeq and is a predicted model, not a curated record. Lineage: Eukaryota; Metazoa; Chordata; Aves; Galliformes; Phasianidae. The transcript has 2 exons.
ACAGGUGCAGUUUAUAGAUGCAUCAUGGUAUCCAGCCCCCGAAGGAUACUUUUAAAAGUAGAUCACCAGGGGCAUGGGAAGGCUGCUACUGGGGUAUAAGCAGUCAGACUACAUCAUGGCUUGAUCCUUCUUGGGGGGAACCAGAGCAACGGUCAUCUCAAUAGCAGGCCUCAGCAAAUGUCUUCGCUCUUCCCUUCCAUCGCUGUUUGCAAAAUGGGAUAAUUCUCAGCCACCUUCAUGGGACUCCUUUUCACCCAUCUCUGGCAAGCCAGAAACUUUCCCUUUUUUUGCUCCCUCUGCCAUUUUGCCUCGAUGUGAUGAUUUCACUCCAUCUUCUGAAAAAUAAAAAUGAAUUUCAUGGCAAA